CCGCUGCCGGCCCAGCGCUUUGGGGAGUGACUUCCGGCCAUGCGGGGCCUCUACCGCUGCCAUCGCGGUCCCGGUCUCCUGAAGUGGAACCCGGCUUGGAGUCGAGCGCGACCCCUCGCCCGUGGGCGCAGGCGAUCGAGUAAGGGUGGGGCGGGCCUCAAACCCGGAUCAGAACCCGCCCUGACCGGCGCAGAGAUACGGGACGCAGCCUAAGCAAGGCCCGGGAAGAAGUUGGGUUUCCCUGCCAUCCUUCCUGCCCCAGCCCCUCAUCCUCAACUCACCAUCAACCCUUCCACGAUCCCAAAUCGCUCGUGGAUGACUUUGGCGAGGGGAGCCAAACAGUUGGUGGUGCAGGACGCGUUGCUGAAACAGCCAAGGUGUGCACGGACACUGUGAGCUCUGACAACCUCGCCAUGAACCCUCCUAGACCCUCAGCUCCUGCAAUAGGAAGCUGGCUGCCAAAGGCCAGGAGGGUCCCUGAAAACAGACACUGCAUUAAAGAAAAAGCUCCUGGAGGACUCCUGAAGCCUGAGGCAGCCUUGGGGCAGCAGUGGCUCAUGGUUUACAUUGGAAAGGUUUAUCAUGAGUAACCGGGUGCUUUGCUUCUGUGAUUCUUGGCCAGUGUCGGUCUGUUUCCUUUGCCAUUGAGCCUGCUCCCCUCAAUGGGGGGUUCAAUCAAUGUUUGUGGGGUUUGUUUGUUUUGAGACAGGGUCUUCCUCUGUCGCCCAGGCUGGAGUGCAGUGGUGCAAUCAGAGCUCACUGCAGCCUUGAUCUUCCUGGCUCCGGCCAUCCUCCUGCCUUGGCCUCCCGAGUAGCUGGGACUACAGGCGCACACCACCAUGCCAAGCUAAUUUUUAAAUUUUUUUGUAGAGAUGGGGUCUCACUUUUGUUGCCCAGGGUGCUUUAGAACCCCUGGGCUCAAGUGAUCCUUGACCUCCCACAGUGCUGGGAUUACAGGUGUGAGCCACCGUGCCUGGCCUCAUGGGUUUUCUUUGUUUUGUUUUGUUUUGUUUUUGAGACAGAGUCUCACUCUGUCACUCAGGCUGGAGUGCAGUGGCACGAUUUUGGCUCACUGCAACCUCCACCUUCCGGGUUCAAGCGAUUCUCCUGCCUCCGCCUCCCGAGUAGUUGGGGUUACAGGCAUGCGCUACCACACCUGGCUAGUUUUUUAUUGUUGUUGUUUUUUGUAUUUUUAGUGGUGACGGGGUUUGCUCUGUUGGCCAGGCUGGUCUCAAACUCCUGACCUCAGGUGAUCCCCACUUCAGCCUCCCAAAGUGCUGGGAUGACAGGCAUGAGCCUCUGCACCUGGCCUCGUGUUUUUUUUUUAGUUAGCCAUUUUAUACGUGUUUACUGAACACCUGUCCUGUGCCCAUAUUCUAAGUGCCUUACCUGCAUUAAACUCAUGUAACCUUCACAACCCGAUGAGGAAGUGCUACCGCUGUCAUUUUUUGCAUUUUUUUACUGCUGUCAGGGCAGAGGGGAGGGGAG
This 1488-nucleotide long non-coding RNA is filed under the name Homo sapiens (human). RNAcentral describes it as "PREDICTED lncRNA (TCONS_00141422)". The record is from RNAcentral. Lineage: Eukaryota; Metazoa; Chordata; Mammalia; Primates; Hominidae.